GAUGGCCGCGAAAUCCAGAGGUGGCCCGGUUAUCAUGAUGCCUGGGUCCCCCCAUGAGAACCCCAUGAGGCUCUGAGGUCCUUUCCAGACCUCAGAGCACCUCGCUGUGCUCCAGGUGGUUCUGGAGACUUCCUGCAGAGCCCCGGCAUGUACAGAGAGAUGGGACAUCCUGAGCCCAGUUCAGAGUUGGUGAAACUGAGGUCUGAACAGGGACUACGAGACCCUUGACCUGGAGAACACGUCCAUCCAAUUUUCCGAUGUUUGUGAGUACUUGCGGGCGUGGGGCUGGGUGCUGGAGAUACAGUGUCUGGAGAGUGUGCUGCUUUUAGGUAUCUUUUAUCUGAGUCCAGGGGUGGAGACAAAUGUGUAAACUCUCCCAAGUAAAAGCAAACUGGGAACCGGGAGAAAGGCUGAGAAACGGAGGAAAUGGGAGCGCGGAGGGCUGAUAUAAGAAGAAUGCUUGAUCUCCUCUGGGGAGGCCUUUGUGCAAGGCUUCCCUGUGUGUCCUCCGAUUAAGGCUCCUGAUAAACAGGCUGAAAUCUGAUCAUGGGGAGGAGGCAGAGAACUUUCCAGACGGAGGGAGCACCACGUGCAAAAGCUGGUAUGGUGGACCAAGCAAGGAGGGAGGCAGAGCGAGACUGCACACACAGAGGAGAAUGUGAUGUGACCACAAAGGCAGAAAUUGGAGUGAUGCAGCCACGAGCCAAGGGAAUCAGUAGCCACCAGAAGCUGGAAGAAGCCAGACCCUCCUGUAGAGCCUCUGGACACACCGUGGACCUGCUGACAUCCCGAUUUUGGUGCAGUGAUGCUAAUUUUGGGUUCCUGGCUUCCAGAACUGGAAAACAAUAAAGUUUGGUUUUCCUAAGCCACCAA
Molecule: long non-coding RNA, 873 nt
Organism: Neofelis nebulosa (Clouded leopard)
Lineage: Eukaryota; Metazoa; Chordata; Mammalia; Carnivora; Felidae
Exons: 2
Source: RefSeq, a predicted model, not a curated record